AUCGAACGCUGGCGGCAUGCCUAACACAUGCAAGUCGAACGGAAGAAUCGAGCUUGCUCCUGGAUUCAGCGGCGGACGGUUGAGUAAUGCCUAUGAAUCUGCCUUAUAUUGCGGGAUAACGUCCUGAUACGGGCUCUAAUACCCCAUCCGUCCUGAUGUCGAAAGUGGGUGAUCUUCGGACCUCACGCUAUCAUAUUAGCAUAGGUGGGUUUAGCUAGUUGGUGGGGUAACGGGCUUCCAAGGCGACUAUCCGUAACUGGUCUGAGAGGAUGAUCAGUCACCCUGGAAGUGAGACAGGGUCGAGACUCCUGGGGGAGGCAGCAGUGGAGAAUAUUAGACAAUGGGGGAGAGCCUGAUACAGGAAUGUCGGGUGUGUGAAGAACGUGUUAGGACGGGAAAGCAAUGUAAGUUGGGGGGAAGGGAAGUAAGUUAAUACGUUGCUGUUUUGACGGUACCAGGAGAAUAAGCACCGGCUAACUCCGUG
Molecule: ribosomal RNA, 484 nt
Filed under: uncultured bacterium
Lineage: Bacteria
Description: partial 16S ribosomal RNA
Rfam family: Bacterial small subunit ribosomal RNA
Source: RNAcentral